CGCUGGCGGCGCGCCUAACACAUGCAAGUCGAACGAGCGAGAGGGAGCUUGCUUUCUCGAGCGAGUGGCGAACGGGUGAGUAACGCGUGAGGAACCUGCCUCAAAGAGGGGGACAACAGUUGGAAACGACUGCUAAUACCGCAUAAGCCCACGGCUCGGCAUCGAGCAGAGGGAAAAGGAGCAAUCCGCUUUGAGAUGGCCUCGCGUCCGAUUAGCUGGUUGGUGAGGUAACGGCCCACCAAGGCGACGAUCGGUAGCCGGACUGAGAGGUUGAACGGCCACAUUGGGACUGAGACACGGCCCAGACUCCUACGGGAGGCAGCAGUGGGGAAUAUUGCACAAUGGGGGAAACCCUGAUGCAGCGACGCCGCGUGGAGGAAGAAGGUCUUCGGAUUGUAAACUCCUGUUGUUGAGGAAGAUAAUGACGGUACUCAACAAGGAAGUGACGGCUAACUACGUG
Molecule: ribosomal RNA, 460 nt
Filed under: uncultured bacterium
Lineage: Bacteria
Description: bacterial SSU rRNA
Rfam family: Bacterial small subunit ribosomal RNA
Source: RNAcentral